Molecule: ribosomal RNA, 253 nt
Filed under: uncultured bacterium
Lineage: Bacteria
Description: partial 16S ribosomal RNA
Rfam family: Bacterial small subunit ribosomal RNA
Source: RNAcentral
CACGGGGGGAGCAAGCGUUGUUCGGAAUCACUGGGCGUAAAGGGCGUGUAGGCGGUCAGGUAAGUGGGAUGUGAAAUCCCUCGGCUCACCCGAGGACCGGCAUCUCAUACUGCUUGGCUUGAGUACGGGAGAGGAUGUGGGGAUUCCUGGUGUAGCGGUGAAAUGCGUAGAUAUCAGGAGGAACACCGGUGGCGAAGGCGCACAUCUGGCCCGAUACUGACGCUGAGGCGCGAAAGCUAGGGGAGCAAACGGG